CGGGAAUUUUGGGCAAUGGGCGAAAGCCUGACCCAGCAACGCCGCGUGAGGGAUGAAGUAUUUCGGUAUGUAAACCUCGAAAGAAUGGGAAGAAUAAAUGACGGUACCAUUUAUAAGCUCCGGCUAACUACGUGCCAGCAGCCGCGGUAAUACGUAGGGAGCAAGCGUUGUUCGGUUUUACUGGGCGUAAAGGGCGCGUAGGCGGCGCGGUAAGUCACUUGUGAAAUCUCUGAGCUUAACUCAGAACGGCCAAGUGAUACUGCUGUGCUAGAGUGCGGAAGAGGCAACCGGAAUUCUUGGUGUAACGGUGAAAUGCGUAGAUAUCAAGAGGAACACCUGAGGCGAAGGCGGGUUGCUGGGCCGACACUGACGCUGAUGCGCGAAAGCCAGGGGAGCAAACG
Molecule: ribosomal RNA, 401 nt
Filed under: uncultured bacterium
Lineage: Bacteria
Description: bacterial SSU rRNA
Rfam family: Bacterial small subunit ribosomal RNA
Source: RNAcentral